CUUAGCCUCUGCUGCAAUACACUCCUCCUUUUCUAUCUUUGCCUUCCUGAGGGUAGAAAAUAUGGUCACUUGCACCUAUAAUUAUAAUUUGCAUUCUGUACUUGUGCUAGUAAAUGAGCCCUCUUAUUUAGAUUACAAAGAAUGGUGGUAAAUUGAACAUUUUAUAUUUGGACCAGUGUCUUUAGAAGAGUACCGUGCUUGGCCUUUGCUUUUAAACUUGAUUAUUAAUUGCCUUGAAGUUGGCAUUGUAAGUACUGUCUUUUUUUUUAUGAACAUACAAAUUGCACAAAACUAGAACUAUUACAAUUAAACUAUGAAGGCAGACUAUUAAGGUUGGGGUUGUUUUCUCUUGAGAUGUGGGGUUAGUGAGUGGUAUGAUUACUCUUUAACAGUAUAUUAGCAGACAUAAUAGACAGAUAGCUGGGGAACUUUUUUUUAUAUAGAAAAGAACAUAAAACGAGGUAACCCCUUUAGAUAUUUUAGAUGACAAAAUAAUCAUAGGGAAAUAAGUUCCAUAUAUCUACUGAUGUAGCUUGUUGUUCCUUUUGCAGAUACUGCACAUUGUGACUUCUGAUUACAUCAAGCCAACAUCAAAACUGACAUCUUGAGGCAAUCUUGAUCACAAUGCCUAAAAAGGAUUAAUAGGCAUCUUGCCCUAGAAGAUCUUAUUAAUAAACACAUUAGCAACAAUAAGAUUCAUGAAAAGUCUUUAAUUUUCUAAUUGUUAGGGACUUGACAACAUUUCUGUGUACAAAUGAAUACAUACUGCUGAACCAUCAUGGUAAAGAUCAAAUUCUGAUCUACAGUUUUGUAAGUAAAGAUGUGCAGUGCAUAAUAGGAUUCCUUUAUUCACACUCUGUGCUUAAAAAAAGAACAAAUCCAUCAUCUUCAAAUUUGACUUGUAGCUUGACAUUAAAAAUAAUAUGAGUAGAAUUUUCAGUGGGCUAAGCAUAAAACUAGUUCAAGUUGUGUCACUCUCAAUUAAUGUAUAUAGGUGGUGUGCCCAUUAAAAUUCCCACCUGUGGGUUCAGCUCUCUAUGCAAAUGGGAUCAUUACCUGGAAACCUAAUUGGGAAUGACACUGGGAGUAUGAAAUUCUUCUCUCAAAACAAAUCUCUUGUAUACAUUUUACCACAUAUUUGAUUUUCAUACGUACACUACUUUGUUUCCCUUCACUGGAAAGAUAUUCCUUAAUUAACUAGUGGCAGAAACUAAACAACACAGAGCAUGGCCUUGCUCAAUUCGACUUUAUGCAAAAGAUUUGCCAUCCACCAUUUUAUUAAAUCUGUUAACCUACCAAUUUAUCUCAGUCCAUAGGCAACAUAAUGUUAUAAAUCAAUGAACACUGACUGGUGCAAUACACGUAAAUAUAUACCAAAUACAAGUAUGGGACCUGUUAUCCAGAAUGCUAUCUUAGUUAAGUCAAAUACAAGGUACUGUUUUUUUUUUUUUUAUCAACUGUUUUUAUUUAUUUUUCAAAGAACAAAACAAAAUCAAAUAAAGCAAGAAAAUAAUCUGAUAGGAAUUUGGAGGAGCACAGAAAAAGUACAUGCAACCAAUAUAGACUGUGAGCAAGACAUUCACACAUCUCUAUCAAAAUCAGCAAACAACAGACGUGAGACAUGAAAGCCCAUACCCGAAAUGUCUUUCAUAUCGCCUACACAUUAUUUAUAGAUAGCAGUCUAUUAAUGUGGUGACUCCUGGGGGGUGAUUGGCGACUCUGUGUCUGUGAGCUAUGGAGAUUCCGUAUAUAGUGAUCCGUCUCUUGUACUACAUUAUUACUGUAUAACAAUUCAGUAUCAAACCACGUGGUAUUCCGAAAUGUGUAGAUCGUUAAAUGUUUAAUAUGGGUGGGGAGUGAGGAUAUAUAUGUCAUCCAGGUGGAAAAAAAAGCUUCUGUGUAUUUCUCUUUAUGUGUGGUAGUUUCCAACCAGUCCAUGUGGAAGAUAUAGUGAAAUUUUUGUUUAACUAGCGAAAGUGGAGGUACUGAAGGGGAAAGCCAAUGGUGGAGAAUAGUUUUCCUAGAUGCUGCCAUUAGUCUUUCCGCUAAGCGACGCUCAGGCUGUGACAGCUGUAACUGUGGAGGGGGAAUCCCAAAAAGCACCCAUAAUAAAUUAAAGGGAGUUAAGUGGUGCGUCAAAGAUCUCCAGUACCCCUGUACAUUUUCCCAAAAUUCCUGUAUGACGGGACAUAGCCAAAUGCAGUGUACUAGAUCAGCUCGAGGCUGACGACAUCUGAGGCAGUUGUCAUUGUCUAGAACACCCAUACGAAAGCGUUGUAGCGGAGUAAGAUAGGAAUGAUGUAAAAGCUGUAAUGACAUUUCUUGGUAUUUACUCGGGGACAAUACCCGCAUAGUUUUAGCAUGAUAUUGAAGUAUUUGAGUUGUAUCCAGUUGCGGAAGCGCUGAGGUCCAUUUAGAUAAAAAGGUAUCUGUCGAUUCCACUGGUAUAGUGGUGCGAAUCAUCCGAUAGAUUUGGGAUGUAGUUCCGAGGGAGUCAUUCUUUGGCCAUAAGGAAUUUAAUGGGUUUUCCCUAUCCGCCUGAGAUAGAUGUUUAAGAACUGUCAUAGCGAAAUGGAUAAUUUGAAUGGAAAGCAAAUAAUCGUCGGAAAGAAAGGGGAAUUUUUGAAUAAGUGUAUAAUGUGGUAGGAUAGUAAAAGUCUCACCAAUGACAUCCUUUACCAAUCUCAGAUUUUGCUAUAUGGCAACAUCUGUAUUUUAUAGAGAAUUUUUGGGAAUAGAAUCAUUUUUAUUAAGUGAAUUCUGCCGAGAAAGUUAAUGUUUGUUAUCCCAAGAUUUUAACUCUUGCUGGAUGUAAUCUAUAGUGUAUCGAAUAUUGAUCGGAUAUAAAUCAGUAUGCUUUUUUGGUAAUUUAAUUCCCAGAUAUGUAAUAUAAGAGUCCGCUAUUUUAAAAGGGAAGUUAUGAGUUCUGUUUGUUAUGCCAGGGUCCCCAAGAUCUAGUGCCUCUGAUUUAUUUAGAUUAAUCUUAAAUCCUGCACAGGUGCUGAAAGAUUCUAUUGUUUCCAGAAUUGUAGGCAAUUCCGCAUGGGGGUCAUUAAUAAAUAGUAAGAUGUCGUCAGCAAAAGCUGCUAUUUUAUAACCGGUGUGGCCUAAUGGAAUCCCCGUGAAUGUCUCAUUUCGUAGCAGAUGUUUUAUUAGGGGAUCUAAUGCGAUAUUAAACAGUAGAGGGGAUAAAGGACAGCCCUGUCUAGUUCCCUGUUGAAUUUCGAACGUUUCCGAAUUGUAGCCAUUAACUGUGAGAAAAGUUUGGGGAGAGUCAUAUAAUGCUUUGAAUAAAUUUAACAUAUGGAGUCCGAAAUGUUGAAACUUUAAAAGUCUCCUAAUAUGUAUGUGAGCAAUCCUAUCAAAAGCCUUAUCUGCAUCCAGAUUAAUUAACAGUCCUCGAUGUCUUUUUUCUAGAUUACAGUGGAAGAUAGCAGCGAUUGCUUUCCUAAUGGCUUGGACUGGAUAUCUAUUUUGGAGAAAACCCAUUUGGUUAGAGGUGCAUCUAGGAUUUCCCUAUCCUGGACAGAAAGCUUAUUCAAAUGAGCGUCUUGGAGAAACUUAAGGCCAGCCUCCGGGAAAUCAAGAGUCCGCUGAUAAAGCUCUCUAAAAUGGGACGUCAUCAUCUGUGUGAUAUCUUGUGUAGUGCGAGCCCAACCGGUAGGGGUUCGGAGUUUCUGAAUAAAAGUAUUGGACUGUUGCCGUUUGACCAAAUUUGCUAACAAUUUCCCAGAUUUGUUUCCCCAUCGAUAGUAUCUAUUUGCAGUGUGACUUAAUUUGUGUUGCAUUUGUUCAGUCAAUAAAGUGUUAAAUAGA
Molecule: long non-coding RNA, 3816 nt
Organism: Xenopus laevis (African clawed frog)
Lineage: Eukaryota; Metazoa; Chordata; Amphibia; Anura; Pipidae
Exons: 2
Source: RefSeq, a predicted model, not a curated record